This 211-nucleotide long non-coding RNA is filed under the name Panax ginseng (ginseng). RNAcentral's name for it is "long non-coding RNA (PGIN_LNC002286)". The record is from RNAcentral. Lineage: Eukaryota; Viridiplantae; Streptophyta; Magnoliopsida; Apiales; Araliaceae.
UUUUUUGGCCUUUUGCCUAACUGUUGGUUCACCGGGCAAACGGGCUGAUAACUCGGCAUCCGUAUAUUGGAAUCGAGUACCGUAAGCUGCAACACGUGCCUAAUGUCUAUAUGGUGCUAUGUGUGUGUUUGCGUGUCGUUCGGACGAUCGAGGUGGGUUUUGGUCUCUUUUUUGCCUUUUUGCCUAAGUAUUGGCAAUUCGGGCAAACGGG